GACGAACGCUGGCGGCGUGCUUAACACAUGCAAGUCGAACGGAAAGGCCCUGCUUUUGUGGGGUGCUCGAGUGGCGAACGGGUGAGUAACACGUGAGUAACCUGCCCUUGACUUUGGGAUAACUUCAGGAAACUGGGGCUAAUACCGGAUAGGAGCUCCUGCUGCAUGGUGGGGGUUGGAAAGUUUCGGCGGUUGGGGAUGGACUCGCGGCUUAUCAGCUUGUUGGUGGGGUAGUGGCUUACCAAGGCUUUGACGGGUAGCCGGCCUGAGAGGGUGACCGGCCACAUUGGGACUGAGAGACGGCCCAGACGCCUACGGGAGGCAGCAGGGGGGAAUAUUGCACAGUGGGCGGAAGCCUGAUGCAGCAACGCCGCGUGCGGGAUGACGGCCUUCGGGGUGUGAACCGCUUUCGCCUGUGACGAAGCGUGAGUGACGGUAAUGGGUAAAGAAGCACCGGCUAACUACGUG
RNAcentral lists this ribosomal RNA (468 nucleotides) under uncultured bacterium. RNAcentral describes it as "partial 16S ribosomal RNA". It matches the Rfam family "Bacterial small subunit ribosomal RNA", at positions 28 to 507 of the family's 1533-position model. The record is from RNAcentral.